GACGAACGCUGGCGGCGUGCCUAACACAUGCAAGUCGAGCGGAGAUAAUAGUAAUAUUAUCUUAGCGGCGGACGGGUGAGUAACGCGUGGGCAACCUACCUUUCACUGGGGGAUAACACAGGGAAACUUGUGCUAAUACCGCAUAACAUCACGAGACGACAUCGUUUUGUGAUCAAAGGAGAAAUCCGGUAGAAGAUGGGCCCGCGUCCGAUUAGCUAGUUGGUGGUGUAAUGGACCACCAAGGCGACGAUCGGUAGCCGAACUGAGAGGUUGAUCGGCCACAUUGGGACUGAGACACGGCCCAGACUCCUACGGGAGGCAGCAGUGGGGAAUAUUGCGCAAUGGGGGAAACCCUGACGCAGCAACGCCGCGUGAAGGAUGAAGGUUUUCGGAUUGUAAACUUCUUUGAUGAGGGACGAAAAAAAUGACGGUACCUCAAAAACAAGCCACGGCUAACUACGUGCCAGCCGCCGCCGUAACAC
This 482-nucleotide ribosomal RNA is filed under the name uncultured bacterium. RNAcentral describes it as "bacterial SSU rRNA". It matches the Rfam family "Bacterial small subunit ribosomal RNA", at positions 28 to 526 of the family's 1533-position model. The record is from RNAcentral.